This 497-nucleotide ribosomal RNA is filed under the name uncultured bacterium. RNAcentral's name for it is "partial 16S ribosomal RNA". It matches the Rfam family "Bacterial small subunit ribosomal RNA", at positions 28 to 507 of the family's 1533-position model. The record is from RNAcentral.
GACGAACGCUGGCGGCGUGCCUAAUACAUGCAGGUAGAACGCUGAAGAGAGGAGCUUGCUCUUCUUGGAUGAGUUGCGAACGGGUGAGUAACGCGUAGGUAACCUGCCUUGUAGCGGGGGAUAACUAUUGGAAACGAUAGCUAAUACCGCAUAACACUGGAUGACACAUGUCAUUUAUUUGAAAGGGGCAAUGGCUCCACUACAAGAUGGACCUGCGUUGUAUUAGCUAGUAGGUGAGGUAAUGGCUCACCUAGGCGACGAUACAUAGCCGACCUGAGAGGGGGGUAGGCCACACGGGGGCGGAGACACGGCCCAGAGGCCUGCGGGAGGCAGCAGUAGGGAAUGUUCGGCAAUGGGGGCGACCCUUACAGAGCGAGGCCGCGUGAGUGAAGAAGGUUCUCGGAUCGUAAAGCUCUGUUGUAAGUUGAGAACGGGUGUGAGAGAGGAAAGUUCACACUGUGACGGUAGCUGAUCAGAAAGGGACGGCUAACUACGUG